UCUAGAGAUAUAGCUCAGUGGUAGAGCAUAUGGGUAGCAUGCAUAAAGCUUUGUGUUCAAUCCCAAGCACUGGAG
Molecule: transfer RNA, 75 nt
Filed under: Marmota monax (woodchuck)
Lineage: Eukaryota; Metazoa; Chordata; Mammalia; Rodentia; Sciuridae
Description: tRNA.Ala
Source: RNAcentral